This 1311-nucleotide long non-coding RNA is filed under the name Homo sapiens (human). RNAcentral describes it as "HSALNT0242178". The record is from RNAcentral. Lineage: Eukaryota; Metazoa; Chordata; Mammalia; Primates; Hominidae.
CGGGCUGCAUGGAAAGAAGUGCUUUCUUUGUGCUGGGGUUGCCACUCCCUGGGAGAGCUUGAUUGAGAAUAAAGCUGAUAUAUGGAAAAAGCAGAGCCAAGAGAUGGCAGGUUUGAGAUGGACUUCUGUUAUUGACAACCCAGAGGUUCCUGACUAACGCAUCAUUCAUUUGUCAAACACUGUGCUCCUGCUCUAUGCCAGACUACACAGGAUGGUGGAAUCCGAGGAUGACUGCGACACAGCUCCUGCCUUCAAGGAGCUUGGAGUCUCCUAAGCCUUGUCCAAAUGCUGCUCCUCUGUGACUACUUGGCCAGCUCCCACAGACAGUGAGCCCCCUUCUCCCCUCUGCUUCCCAGCACUAGGUUCACACUAUUCAUUCAAUGAAUAUUGCCAGGAGUGGUGGCUUAUGCCUGUAAUUCCAAGACUUUGGGAGACUGAGGCAAGUGGAUCACUUGUGGCCAGGAGUUUGAGACCAGCCUGAGCAACACAGGGAGACCCCACUUCUACAAAGAAAUAAAAACAUUAGGUGAUGUGGUGUUCACACCUGUAAUCUCAGCUACUCAGGAGGCUGAGGCAGGAGGAUCCCUUGAACCCAGGAGGUUGAAGCUGCAGGGAGCUAUGGUUGCACCACCAGCCUGGGCGAGAGUGAAGUUCAUUGGUUACCUACUUCAGGCCAGGCUCCAUGUUCCUCCUAUUGUAGAAUUGUCCCAGACUGUGUCUGCCUCUGCCUCUUAGACUGUAUGUUCUUGGAUAAUGGGCACCAUGCUGGUGAAUCCCCAGUGCCUAAGGCUGCGCCUAACGUGUGCUAAUUGCUUGUGUUUAUUGAAUGAAUGAAAGAAUGUGGAUUUCUGUGUGUGUUUAUGUGUGUUGGGAUGAGGGAGUGGACAACCAAAGAGAAGGACAAUAUGACAUAGCACCCAUAGCAGAGGAGAGGGUCCUGGAAGUUUCUAGAUCCAGCCAGGGCUCAGCCAGAAAAGCCAGCACACGGCUCUGAUCAAUUGAAUAAGAGCAGAUGUCUCCCUGCAGAUAGAUGCCUUCCCCACAUUUGCAACACAGGCGUCCCUGUCUCAGCACCAGUCCUGAAGAGCUGUCUCUGGAAGUUUUUCCCUUCUCCAAACCCCACCCAUAGUGUCCCGCCUGGCCACUACAUGGAUUCGUGUGAGGGCUCAAUGUAGCCUCUCCCUCUCAGGCUGACGGGGCCCAUUCUUCACACACAGCACUCGCUCACCAACAUGGGCUGGGGCCUCCUCAGAGCCGUGGAGGCAGGGAGUCACGGACUGACAGCCGGGCCUCAGGUGAGCCAAAACGCCC